RNAcentral lists this long non-coding RNA (4546 nucleotides) under Homo sapiens (human). RNAcentral describes it as "HSALNT0122248". The record is from RNAcentral. Lineage: Eukaryota; Metazoa; Chordata; Mammalia; Primates; Hominidae.
GAUACCAAAAAGUCUAGGGCAACAGACUGUGAAAGGUCAUAUGAUUGUGAGAGGUGAAGCCGGCUGGGAUUCUGGGUCAGGUGGUGACUUGGAGAACUUUUCUGUCUAGCUAAAGGAUUGUAAACACACCAAUCAGCACUCUGUGUCUAGCUAAAGGAUUGUAAAUGCACCAAUCAGCACUUGUAAAAAUGCGCCAAUCAGCACUCUGUGUCUAGCUAAAGGUUUGUAAAUGCGCUAAUCAGCACUCUGUAAAAACAGACCAAUCAGCACUCUGUAAAACAGACCAAUCAGCGCUCUGUAAAAUGGACCAAUCAGCAGGAUGUGGGUGGGGCCAAAUAAGGGAAUAAAAGCUGGCCACCCGGGCCAGCAGCAGCAACCUGCUCAGGUCCCCUUCCAUGGUGUGGAAGCUUUGUUCUUUCGCUGUUCACAAUGAAUCUUGCUGCUGCUCACUCUUUGGGUCCGCACUAGCUUUAUGAGCUGUAACGCUCACUGCGAAGGUCUGUGGCUUCACUCCUGAAGUCAGCAAGACCACGAACCCACCGGAAGGAGGAAACAACUCCGGAAGCACCACGUUUAAGAGCUGUAACACUCACUGCGAAAGUCUGCAGCUUCACUCCUGAAGUCAGCAAGACCACAAACCCACCGGAAGGAAGAAAUUCCAGACACAUCUAAACAUUGGAAGGAACAAACUCCAGACACACUAUCUUUAAGAACUGUAACACUCACCGCGAGGGUCUGUGGCUUCAUGCUUGAAGUCAGCCGGACCAAGAACCCACCGGAAAGAACCAAUUCCUGACACAAUCGUUCUUCAUGGUCUAUGACUCCAAGGUCUGAAAUGAUCUCAUUUACCCCACAUGAUAGAUGUGGCCCUUCCAGAUGAGGAGUUCAACAAGACUACAUGGUAGAGCAGCCAGAGAACCCACUGGAAAUAAGGCUCAAAAUAAGGAGUAACCACAAAAUAAGAGACAGAGAAUGCUGAUUCACUAUGCAGUGAAACAUGCCUAACGUGUCAACAGCUAAAUGCCCGGUGACAGUGUGGUUGUCUGGGCAACAGAAGAAGUCACCCACGCAAACACUUAAAGGACCAUACUUAUUUUACAAGAGGAACAGUUUUCAAUGGAAUGGAUAUUAAAACACACACCUGGAUCCCUUUACCACAGGUGCUUUGAGAGGCACCAUCAAGGACAGUGAGCUAACGCAGGAGAAUGGAGUCCCAGAAACCUAGGAGGAGAAGACAAAGUGUCAGCCUCUCGGCAUCUGCAGUGUUGCUAGGAAAAGAGCUCUGAUCCCAGGGGCUUACCCACUUCCACAGGUAGGAAGCGUCCCUGAGAGGACUGGAACAUUAGCAUAUCUCAGAUCCAUCUGCAAAACUUUUGCAAACACGGAACUCCCUCGUUCUAAUCUUAUCAGCAACUUCCAGAGCUGAACCUUGAUUAAUCUGGAUACAAAAAGGAUUGAAACGCCACAUAAUAAGCAUUAACAGGAGGGUGUUUCCUUUAUCAAUGAAGCUUGAUUUAUCCAUGAUGAUCUAGUGCAUUCUCCUCCCAAAAAUCAGGAUCAUCCUCUGCAUAUGAAGGAACAGACAAGCCCUCAGCUCUACCACUUUGGAGAGGGGGGGAUUGGACAGCAUGAGCCUUCAAUUGUAUCUCUUGGAUGACCAAGGAAGGCUGGAUUUCUGCACCUAAAAAAUGGAAGCACAAACUGUACAACAAAUACUCUCCAUUCAAGUUGAAGUUCUCAAAUAAGGUAUCCAAUUAACCAAUGUAUUAAUAACAUUGAAAAUAAUAAUCUCAUAGGAAGAUUCCAAAAAUUUCUGGUUUUAUAUCUAGCAAAAACUUCAUGCACUAUGUUUGAUUUGUAUGUAGAACUCAGGGUGAACAUGCCAGUGACAGUGGCAAUGAGAGGGGUAACUGGGGGCCAGAAGCAGGCUGAGGGAGAGGAGAGGAGGGGGCAGAGUGUGCUCAGGGAACCAUGAGCCAUGCAGGAUAAGCAAUAGGGCAGAAUAAACAGGACAUACCCAUCUGUUUAUUCUCUCUGUAUAAUGUUUUGAUUCUCUUUGUACCCUAACUAACCAAGGCACAGCUCAGGAAGUUGCUGCCAGGAUUAGAAAAAGGGAGUUGCACAUUCUCAAAAAGCAAUGGUACAGUGCAAAGAAUGGUAAUUAAUCCCCCAGCACACUUGACCCAGCCCCUAAAGAACUUUGUGACCUUGGGCCAGGCAGGCAGCUCCCAGGCUUCUGUUUUGUCAUUUUUGACCUCUUCUGGCUGCAGUGAUUCAUUUCCAGAUAUAGGUUGCUUCAGCUCAUCUCAAAGUCUUCUUGUAGCCUGUUCUUUGAGAAAUGGUAAUAUAUCUCUUGAAAAGUUUCUUUUUCUUGCAAAGUCACCCAAUUCAUGAGUUAAUGAGGUCCCACCAGUGAUACGAUUGCAGAGUCACAAAUAUCACUAACUGAAAGGAGUAGAAGGAAGGCGGGAAUUGCAGACACACCAUGAGUGGGUGGCCUCCAGGAGAUACACGUGAGACCAGCCCUGUGGUGGGCCAGGUCAGAAGGACUUCUGCUUAGACUAGGUGGAAACUUCUCAGCAUUCUGAGGAGUACCACCAUCUGACUGGCAGUUUGAAGGUAUCACUUGGGCUGCUGUAUCAAGAAUAGACUUCAGAAGACAAGUUGAACGUAGCAAGACCAGUGAGAAAGGUGUCAUAGCCGUCCAAGUGCAGGGUGGCAGUGGAGAUAGGAGUUAUAUUAAGGAGAGAGUCACCAGGAUUUGCUGAUGGGUUAGGUGUGGGCUGUGGAAGAAAGAUCAAAGUCAAGAAUGACUCCAAUGACAUUGUCCUAAGCAAUUGGAAUGAUGAAAUCACAGUUGUUGAGAUGGGGAACCUGCACAUGGAGUGAGUCUGGAGGAGAGAUUAGUUGUUUGGCUUUGGCCAUGCUGAGUUUCAGAUGUGUUUCGACACACAUGUGGAGGGGUUACGCUUGAAUGUCUGAGUCUGACUUUUGUAUUGAGAUGUUCCUAUCCUACUUCUUCCUACCUCCACCCUGCAAAGGAUGGCCAUGGUUAUCUUCAGUGCCCCCACAAAGCUCUGUGCAGAUUCCUGGUAUGUCACAUUUAUUUCAAAUGGCUUUACUGAGAUGUAAUUGAUAUAUAGUUCACCCAUUUAAAUUGGACAAUUGAAUGGUUUUUAGUAUAUUCACAGAGUUUUGAUCAUGUGUAACAUGGUCUAUUUUUAGAAUAUUUUUGUCACCCCUUCCCCUCUAAAAAACCUCAUAGCCAUUAGGAAACAUUCUCCAUUUCCUAGCAUGGUAUUUUAAAAUAGUGACAAUUCCUAUUUUCAAGUCUGUCAGUAAGCCUCUUAAUGGUAGGGACUUCCGUGUUAUUUGUUUUUGCAUUUCACCCUGUAACAAUUACUCAAAAAAGCUGUUGUAUGAAUGAACUACAGUUUGAAAAAUACGACCCCAAGACUGUGUGUCUUUAAGAGAGAACCAACCCUUUGCAUUCCGGUGCUCUUCGUAUGGCUGCCUGUAGCAUUUUUCAGAUCUAGUUGAGAAACCGAUGGGAGGAUAUGGAGAUAAGUCUCAUUACUCUUUUCUUUCUUGGCUAUACUUCUCUAGCAUCUGUUGUAAACAAAACAGAAAAGAGUCUUUCUAAACCUGGUGAAAAUAUCUCAAAUGCAAGGAAGCCAGUGAUGAAAAAUGCAAUAUCAAAGUUCGGGCUGUUACAAACACAUGGCAUAAAUCACAUCUGCUCAUUAAACUUAUUACAAAGAAUGAUAACAAAAGCAAAGAGAUGUCUGAAAAUGUCUUGGGAAAAAUAAAGUAGCUAAUAAAUUCGUGGUUUUACUGUUUUAUGUCAUAAGGAUGGAUAUAAUUUCAUUUGGGACAAAUGUUUCUGGACUCAGACUACAGACUACAGAUUUGGAGCUGAAGGCCACUACCAAGGCAAUCUCCUCUAACAUCUUCAUUUCAGAGCUGAUGAGCUAGAUAGUCAUGCCCUGUGACCUCUCAGCUGGUUAUGGCAGAGCUCGCCCAAGAGCAAGGGGCGUAAUAUAUUAAUUAGUUUAAACUGAUAUGCGUUAUGUACUAACAGGGUCUGGGCAGACCAGUAGCAUCUAAAUAUUAUUCUAAGAGUCAGAAGCUUUUUUUCCAAUAAAGCCUUAUGCUGAAAACAAUAAUUAUGGCAGAAUCCUUCUGAUGGAGCCUGGGGGGUGGACUGCUUUUUCCCUCUGCUGCUGCAGCCCUGACGUGGUUUAGUGUGUCCUGGGACUAUCCCUUUGACAUCCCUCCUCUGUAUUCUUCUGAAAUACAGGACCCAUCCACUGCAUAUAGUCACAAGUUUACUUGCUUCUCUUCCCUCCUAAACUGUGGAAUCUCUCAACAUAAUGAUUGUGUCUUACACAAAACUGCAUAUCUCAGUUUCUGAACUCAGGAAAUAUUAACUUUGUUCUUUGACUUGCCAGGUUCUUUUCAAGGUGUUGGUGACACAGAUAUGAGGAAAACAGAGUUGACUCAUGGUGAUGGAGCUUACAUUCUAUGGGGCAAGAGUGAGCAGAGG